GACGAACGCUGGCGGCGUGCCUAAUACAUGCAAGUCGAGCGAAGUUUUUCUGGUGCUUGCACUAGAAAAACUUAGCGGCGAACGGGUGAGUAACACGUAAAGAGCCUGCCUCAUAGACUGGGACAACUAUUGGAAACGAUAGCUAAUACCGGAUAACAGUAUUUCUCGCAUGAGAGAUAUUUAAAAGUUGGUUAUGCUAACACUAUGAGAUGGCUUUGCGGUGCAUUAGCUAGUUGGUGGGGUAAAGGCCCACCAAGGCGACGAUGCAUAGCCGACCUGAGAGGAUGAUCGGCCACACUGGGACUGAGACACGGCCCAGACUCCUACGGGAGGCAGCAGUAGGGAAUCUUCCGCAAUGGGCGAAAGCCUGACGGAGCAACGCCGCGUGAGUGAAGAAGGAUUUCGGUUCGUAAAGCUCUGUUGUUAGGGAAGAAUGGAUAUGUAGUAACUAUACAUGUAAGAGACGGUACCUAACCAGAAAGCCACGGCUAACUACGUG
RNAcentral lists this ribosomal RNA (499 nucleotides) under uncultured bacterium. RNAcentral describes it as "partial 16S ribosomal RNA". It matches the Rfam family "Bacterial small subunit ribosomal RNA", at positions 28 to 507 of the family's 1533-position model. The record is from RNAcentral.